GAACCAAGUUAAACUCAAAGAGAGUGAGUGAGCGAGUGUUGCACAAACAACAUGUCUGCCUCUGUCAUGGCACCUUUGGCUCCGAAACCAUCUCCCUCUCCUCUGUUACAACGAUCCAAGCUUCGAGGCCUGCGACCAUCGGCGAGGCCAAGGCCGUCGUUGCUCAUAGUGGCCAAGAAGGCCAAGACUGCCUAACCCUACGGGCCUGGUGGUGGAGUGGUGUUCAAGGAAGGCGUCGAUGCGUCUGGAAGGGUAGCCAAGGGGAAGGGUGUUUACCAGUUUGCCGACAAGUAUGGAGCAAAUCAGGGUAAGAUACAUACCGGGAGCACCCCAGCCUCCUCAGAGUUUAGCGAUUCCCGGCCGUCGGAUAAAAAUGCAACACUGUGGAUCGAAACAGUGUGCGCCCCGAGCUGCCACCGCGCGUAAUUCCUAGAUCCCUCCGAGGGUAUUCUGGUCAUUUCGCAUACGACUAUAAAUAAACGGCGGCUCCCGUGCUAAAACCUAGCCGCCGCCUCCUCUUCCCUCGCUCGCUUUCACUCCUCCCGCAGCCGCCUCCCUCCGUUCCUCGCUCUCACUGUCGAUCCCGUCUCCCCUAUCCUCCCCGUUCAUCCCUAGCCCGGCGCCGGCGGCGGCGAUCGCCGUUCCAAUCUCCACGGCCCCUCCUUCUCCACCGUGGCCCGUUACGUCAUCAGCAACCUCUCGCCGGUCUGGUUCGAGCCGCUCCGCGCCACCCAGCCCCGACCCCUUUCUUCCAAGCCGGCGCGGCCACCGUUGACGGCGAGGAUCAAUACCGGCCGCAGGAGGAGCAGGAGCGCGGCGGGAAGGAGGAGGAUGAUCAGGGGAGGCCGCGCCACCAUCCACCGCCGGCUGUCGACACCUCCUGUUCGACCACACAGAGGAAUCACCGGACCGUCGUCCUUGCGUUCCUUCUCCUCCAGGAAGAAGACGACCCAAGGUGAGCCACCUUCGAUCCAUCUCGCGGAGUCAGCGGGGACUCCAACCUGAGGCUCCAUGGCGGCGGCCAGCGAGUUCAUAUCUCCCUCGACGAGAGGAUAGGCUCCAGGUUUGCGUCACAGGGCGUGUAGCUCCACGGCUUCUUCAGGGCCAGCAUCAAGCUGCCCUCUGAGACUACGCCGCCGGCGUCGUCGUCGCCUUCUACACUUUGGCGUCCGGUACAUGUCGAACGACGAGCUGGACUUGAGUUCCUUACAGAGGUGCAUGGGAGUAAGCUCGAGCUGCAGACGAGCUCAGACUCCAUAGGAGGAGCGUGUUCUGCUGCGCCUUUCCCACCUCCUCGGCGCACAGGGGGAUGGCUAGCUCCGCGCAGCAGUAGGGGGUUGAUCACAAGAUACUAAAGGAUUUCUCUAUUAGUAGAGGUCUGAAGGUUCGAGAAGGGACGAAAGAUGAAGAAUUUGCCUGCAGAAAAUAUUGAACAAAAAGCUCCAGAUGGCUUCCUAGGGGUGAUGCGCUUCAGAUUGAGAUUGGGAUGUUGGCUUUCUCUAACCUGCCUUCCUUGAGUCUGAAGUUGGGUUCACAAGCAAGCAGGCUGUAGAGGACAUGGCACUGGCCGUGUUCAACCGUGCCCUGAAGCUUUCUGGAGUAGGUCUGUGCCUCUGUGUGUGUCUUCUCUAACUUCAUAUCGCUGGAUCUAUGGAUCAUUCUGCACGUUGGGCUUGUUGCUGGCUGCUAGCCUGGCUUGUAAGAGGAUGCUCCCCUGCUCUGAGUCCAAGAUACUGAGGGAAAGUCUAACAUAUCCAGAGGCACCAAUUGGGAGAGGUACAACAUAUGCAUUUCAAAGAGAACUGGACUCCGCUAUUUCUGACUUCACCAAGGUUGAAAUUUUAAAUUCAGAAUUCAGAACAUUCCCUUUACCUUUGUGUAAAAUGACCUUAUGAUCUUACUCUAAAGGGAUGAUCAAUUCAUGUUGUCUUGCAUUUCAGUAGUAAAGCGUUAUAGGUAGGUUGUUAGAGCACACUCUGAAUUCCACCAAUUUCUUUCCAUGGCUUAUAUGUGACCAAAUGCUCCAGAUUGUAUAUGACAUCCUUUUGUUUACACAAGCUUAACUGUUUCCUGUGAGGCAGCUACUGAGAGUGAUGAAUAUAGCAUUGCUUGGCAGUUGUGCUUUAGUCAUUGGUAUGAUAGAAGCAUUACAUAGUGCAUUGGUGAUAAAACUAUUGUUCUCUCAAACUGGUAAUAUUGAUCUGUUCUCUUGAAUGAUGUAAACUUAACGGAUCUUAUGUCUUUCGUGAUAGUUCACAAUAUUCUCUUAAUUAACAUUCUGAGUAUAAUAUCUUAAACAAUUUGGUUAGAAGUAAACUGGGAUGAAAACAUGUGUAGUUAAAUAUGAAUGCAUAUGUUAUUUCGAGUUAAAUUUCAAUCCACAUACCGGCUGUUAAGAAGUAUUACAUUAUUUUUAUUUUCUCAAUUGUAUGGAAGUGUUAGUUCUUUCCAGGUCUUUGGAAUAACAAUUGUACAUUUUCUUAUUCAUGCUAUUUGGACCAAAUUUGUAGAAUCGUUAAAGUCUCAGCUAGGAUUUUAACCUGGUUACCUGGUUCUGCCUAAUCUUCUCUUUAUUUUGGCUAUGGUUGUCGGUGUAAACUAGGAACUGGUUAUAUGCACAUGUUUUUAAUGUUUCAGACGUAGUAUAUAGCAGAUAGUUUGCUCUGUGCCACUUUCCUUUUCCAUCUCUUCUUACAGCCAAUAUAUAUGUUUCUUGUGCCUAUGGUUGGUGAGCUCAGAAAGACAGCAAACCAAAGGCAUGUUACAUAAUUGUGUACUGUUUUGGUAAAGUCUGCGUGUGUGAAUUUGAUUAUGAGAGGCAAGAGUGCCAUGUUGCACGGGCCAAAUAUUUUCCCACGCGUGGUAGUUUGUCAACAUUUUUCCGAAAUCACGAAUGAAUUUUAAAAACCAGAAUUUAAGAUAAAUAAGUAAACCUAUACAAACACAAAGAAAGUAAAUGAGAAACAGGAAAAAGAUGGAAGAGAACUUCAUGGGCCGGCCCAAAAGUCACAGCGGCGCUCCACCAUUGAGCCUACCUUUGAGAAGGCCGUUGGGCAAGGCUAUUUCGGUCAUCUUCCUGUCUGAUCUUCCUGUCUGAUACAUAGGUCAAACCUAGAAGGAUUUACACGUUCUCUCUCCGACAUUUUCCUUUGCUCAUGCGAAUACAUCGUCUUCUCGGCGCGGCGGCGCCGCCUUGGAUCAGACCUCUGUUGCGCCUCUUCGAUUAUCCCUUCGGAACUCAGCUCCAGCGACCAGGUCACUAUGGUGGAAGAAGAGCUCCAGGUUCACGGCUCGCCGGGUUCCGCUUCCCCCACUAACAGCUGUCUGCGAGCACUUGCCUAGGUCAAUUCAACUUUAUCACCUUACCUUUCCUGGAAAGAAGUUGAUCGACAAGGCAGCUGAACGGAGCCACUUAUUAGUAUGUUUAGUAGUUAUGGCUCCGUAGUUGGCUCUCCUUUAUUAUGUUCUUGGUCUUAUUACUUCCUCUCCUGUAUUCUCGCUUUUGGUAUCGAAUUUCAUGUCGAGUGGCUAUCUUUUGUGCUCUUAUGAACGUUCUUAACUUGAUGCUGGCUUAUACUUGAUGCUAGCUUAUAAUCUGAUGACGAUAUUGAGCUCCACUA
Long non-coding RNA from Triticum dicoccoides, 3620 nucleotides. RefSeq lists it as uncharacterized. The transcript has 12 exons. Lineage: Eukaryota; Viridiplantae; Streptophyta; Magnoliopsida; Poales; Poaceae. The record is from RefSeq and is a predicted model, not a curated record.